This is a long non-coding RNA of Thrips palmi, 172 nucleotides long. RefSeq lists it as uncharacterized. The transcript is spliced from 3 exons. Lineage: Eukaryota; Metazoa; Arthropoda; Insecta; Thysanoptera; Thripidae. The record is from RefSeq and is a predicted model, not a curated record.
CGUUGAACGCCGCGUUGAACGCUGCGACGGCCGCCCCCUGGCCCGUCGGUCCACCAGGCACGAUGUUCCAUGAGCUGAGGCACGCGCACGAAGCAUGGCUCCACGAUGGCAACACGGGGGGCAGCGGCAGUGAGCACGCCUCGAGCCCGGGCUUUGCAUCCGACUGUUCCGG